UGGCAGAGACGGCAAGAAAACUUGGAAUUUUAGUUAUUUCUGAUGAAGUUUAUGCUCAUCUCACUUUUGGAAGUAGACCAUUUGUGCCUAUGGGAGUCUUUGGAUCGAUUGCCCCUGUUAUUACUCUCGGAUCCAUAUCAAAGAUGUGGAUUGUCCCUGGUUGGCGACUUGGUUGGCUUGUUACAAAUGAUCCAAAUGGUAUACUAAAAGAGCAUGGGGUACUUACCUUUUAAAGAUGGCCAUUUUCUACUGCUUCCACACAUAUUAUAGGGGACUAUAUAAGUAUAAUAUGAUAUCUUAGAUUAUUUUACAAACAAACAAUGUCUAUCCGUCGUCACUUUGUGUAUUGUUAUUUGCAGGUCAUAGAUUCCAUCACGGGAUAUCUCAAUAUAUCUUCUGACCCUGCGACUUUUAUUCAGGUUUGCUCUUUAUAGUUCUCUCUUCUGCUUGCGUUCUUUUGGAAAUGUAACACUUGUUGUUCCAUUUUGCCACACAUUUGGUAGAGUUGCUAAAGGAUUGGAAUUUAUUUUGGUCUAACAGCUUGUUGUAUUAUGUAAACAUGUUUCACAUAAGCUAAUGGAAUAGUUAUUUGAAAAUUUAGUAGUAUAGGUGUAAUUUUCCUCGUCGCUUACUGAGGUAUCUGGUUUCUUUUUGUUCUUACUUUGACAGGGGGCAAUUCCUCAGAUCCUUAAGAAUACAAAAGACGAUUUCUUCUCUAAAAUAGUAAAUAUGCUAAGAGAAGAUGCAGAUUUCUGUUAUGAAAGAAUCAAGGAUAUUCCUUGCAUCACUUGCCCAAGUAAACCUCAAGGAUCUAUGUUUGUGAUGGUAUGAGAAAAAUGGAAGCUUAAUUAGUUAGAAGAUGUUAUCAAUAGUCUAAUAUAGGUCUUUUUCCUCUUGUAGGUUCAACUUCAUUUGAAUCUUCUAGAAGACAUCGAAGAUGACCUGGACUUUUGCGCAAAGCUGGCUAGGGAAGAAUCUAUGAUAAUUUUACCAGGUAAAAGAAAACAAAUCUCUUAGAAAGCUAAUCAAACUCUGUCGAAACAGUAGACAGAUUUUCUUACUUGAACAAAUGUCCCUUUCUUGGAGGACAAUCUUUUCAAGUUCCUUUAUUUUUUUCGAUUUCUUGCAAUGUUUCUCAUACGUUUAGUCAAUAGAGCUUUCGUAUUCAUGGGUCAUAAUGUCAUUUGAUUCUUUUAUUACGCCAAACAAGCCUUUAAUUGCGUCCAAUUCAGAAAGUUCCUACAGGACAAAUAGAAUUCAUCCAUAUACAUAAGAUCUGCCAUGCUAGUGAUCAUUUUUUGGGAUACAUACAAGUCUGAUUAUCAAUGCAAGUAUGCAACUGAUACGAAAGCAGAAAUUCGUCAAUUUUUAUUAGACUCCAUAGAUGUAACCAUGUUUUAUGAAGGUAAAAUUCGUGUACUUCUGGUAUUGAUGUAUUAAUUCGCUGCAUGAAAGUAGACUCACUCAAAAGAGCUAGCAUAUGAAUACAAAGUUUGUGUGUUCUGCAUGCACAAAAACUGGUGUGAUGCUAUGCUGUGUAUAGAUAUCUGACAAUAACUCUUGGUGCAGGUAUUGCUGUAGGACUCAAGAAUUGGCUCAGGAUAACCUUUGCAUGUGAGCCAUCAUAUCUGGAAGAUGGGUUCCAGAGACUAAAUGCUUUCUAUAAAAGGCACGCCAAGAAACAAUAAGCUACUGUCUGAGAAACAGCCGUUAUAUCUGUUACCGUCCCCUGAUAUGGAGGACGCUGCAAGAUGAAAUCAGAUAUUUUCUUCCUACAACCUAUGGUCCUGGUUCGUCAAGAGAACCUGCAAUCUUGAGUUAAGAGUACUCAAAAACUAAACAAUUUUCUGUUUUUUUUUUUUUUAUUGAAUUCAAGUAACUUUAAAAAUAAUGUUGGUGGAUAUCUCUGCUUUGCGGAGUGGCAAUUGAUCUUCAACUACUCGUUGACCCUCGGUGUGGUGUACGAACAAUAGCUCAUACAUAAGUUGGCUAGAUUUUCAACAAUUUUGUCGAGUCAUCAGAGGAAUGUUAUAUGUUAUUCAGAAUGGUGGUAUCAGCUAAUUCCGGAUUAUCACAGACAAUAUCAUUCUGGGGAAUAUCAUCCGGAACUCCUGCUAGUGAAUAUCAAUAAUGCACCAUUACUAGUGAAUGUGUUUUUAAGAUAGCCUUUAACUAGCAAAGCUAGAACACGUGUUUGUGAAAUGUGCAGAUUGUUUAAUAUUGUUGGGCACAAUUGGUUGCUAAGUAAGGACAAUCUUCGAUCUUACAAUUCUUAUACUCAAAUUCUUUUGCACUUAGACUCUUGUAACUUCGUUUGAUACGUUCUUGCGAACUCACUCUUUACUUGAACACAAAUAACUCAAAUGAACCACUUACCUUUCUAGAUUUUCUGUUCUUUGCCUUGUAACUAUAUUUCUAGAAUUCACCUCCUAAUUCUCUACAAACUCUUGGAAUGUUCUAUAUGUUUUUGUUAGGGCAAAGAUAUUUAUUAUUCAAAGUCCAGAAAAAAAACAAACUAGUUUCUGUGUUUCUUAAGAAGGAAAAUAUUUUUUAAUUUUCUUAUAUUUGGUUGGCUUAAAUAUUUUUCAAAUGAACGUAAUUUAUUAAAAGUAAGAAAAAAUGUAUUUUUCAAAACUUUCUUCAACUUCACCACCCAACCUCUAUCACGACCCGAAACCUGACUAUCAACCCCGACAUGGAAUUCGAUUCCUAAUCCCGACUUUGAUUAGGGAUCCGAAUUCGAUCCAAAAUACGACUUCCAACCUUGACACAGAUUAGUAUUUGACCCAACCAAUCCCCAACUUGAGUCAAGGUUGGGUCUUGGCUUAGGGUUUGGUCUCAAGUUGGGUUAGGGUUAGGUCAGGGUAGGAUCGAGGAUUAGUUUCUAAGUUGGGACUAGGAGUGGCAAAUGAGUGAGUUGAGUUGAGUCGAAUAUGAGUCGAUCGAAAACGAGUUAAAUAAAAAUGGAUAAAGCACUCGGCUCGACUCACAUUUUAAAUGGGUAAAAACGAGUUACCCAAUGAAUAAUAUGGGUACUCAUAUUAUAGUUAAGAUCUUGUUAAAAGCUUUAAAAAUAAAAUCUUUUUUAUUUUUUUAUCACUCCACCCUCCCUACCAGCCCCCACCCCCCAUUCCAAAAAAAAUUAUAAUUUUUUUUUUACCACCCCCCAAUGCACCCCUCACAUUUUAAAAAAGAAGAAACUUUUUCUACCACCCACCCCUAAUCACUUUUCUUUCUUUUAUGAAUGAACAUUUUUUAUUCAUAUUAUCCAUUUAACUAUCCACUUUUAAAUGGGUAAAUAUGAGUAUUAUUCGUUUUUACCCAUUUUAAAAUGAGUUGGGUACUCAACCCAUUUAAAAUAGGUAAAUAUGAGUGAAUACCCAUAUAAAUUACCCAUUCUGCCACCUCUAGUUGGGAUCGAUGUUAGGGUUGGAGGUGGGGUUGAGUAUUGAGUCAAGGGCGAGGUUGUGUUUCUGGUGGAUGUUGAGGUCCGAUCGGAUCUCGAGUUUGGAAUGUGAUAAAGAGGUUCGGGUUUGUGUCAAAGAGUGGGGUCCGAAUAUGAUGUUAUAAUAUUUGUCCAGAUUACAUCUAAGUAUUUUGGGAAAAGGGUUUGAUAUACCUCUCAACUUUGUUAUUUAGAGUUGAUAUACUCCUCGUUAUAAAAGUGGCUCACACAUAUUCCUAUCUUUAUAAAAUUGGCCCGCAUAUACCCUUUUCCUCUAAGGAAGUGAAAAAAUAUGUUUUAUUAAUAAAAAAAUAAUUAAUCUUUUAUUAAAAAACAAUUCAUGUAGGGUAUAUGUGAGCCAUUUAUGUAACAAUUGUAUAAAGGCCUAAUCCAUCGGUGACCUCCUAAAGUUGGCAACAAUUUUUCACUUAGACACUUUAAAUAGACUUUGUUUGUUUUAGACACCUCAUGUCAGACCCUAUUGUGUCAUUUUGACACUUUUUUCACUAGUACAUGUUGACUCCAAGUGCGUGUUAACCAAGUGCGUCCACAUGGAUUAAAUGCCCAAUUAUAUCAUGCCAACUCAUUAAAAGUCUAUCAUAUUAAAGAGAAAAAAAUAAGAAUCAAAAUAUAAGACAAAGUAACCAAUGAAUAAAUGACAUGUGGUUUUUUUUAUCAAAAUAAAUAAAUAAAAUAGUUUGACAAAUUUAAAGAAAAAUUCCACACCCCCACAGCUUCCCAAAGUCAUCUUCUCCAUUGUAUUACUCCAUUUUUAUUAUUUUUUUAACCUUAUUUUUUCUGCCAUAAACCCACACCCACACAAUCUACUCUAUCAUAUUCCUCCAUUUUCAUUGUCUUUUCCGUCACACUCACAUCCACACAGUCAUGUUCUCUAUUUUAUUCCUCUUUUUUCAUUUUUUUUUGUCAUAUUCACUGAAUUUUGACCGUUUUCUUCACUGCACCUCCCCUCACAUUUUUUCAUUUGAUUCCGGGUUAAGAGGUGCAAAUGUAUAACAAACAAUGGUUCGUAUUUUUAAGCUCGAGUCUCCUUUUCUUUAAUUUUGAGAUAUUUGUAAUUUAAUUAGGGCUUAAGGUUAGUGAGAUUAACAUUUACAUAAUGAAAAUUGGGAUCUUUUUGGCUCCUAUUUUUGUUAACUUGAAAUUUGAGUUGUUGGCAGUUAUAUGUUGGCAAUUGAGACUGUGGAUAUAUUUAAUUUGAAGAAUUGUUUUUACUUUUUUCUUUAGGAUUAUUGUGGGUGAACUUUACAUGAUAUGGGUGUUGUUGAUAUGGGUUCGAUUUCUUGUUUCUUUUUGGAUCUACCUGAGCUUGUAGUGGGAAAUUUAAAUUGAAAUUAUAAUAACAAAAGAUUUAACCUCCGUUGAAGUACUUUAAGCUUUGAGAAAUAAUUGGAGAGAUAGUGGCUGUAAAAUGAAAAAGAAGAGAGAAAAAAUAAAAUAAAAUAGGCUAAAUAAGCCACUCACGCGUCAAUAGCGAGUGUAUAACACUCACUUUGUCAUGUCAGUGGAAAGGGUCAAAUGACACAACAGGGCUUGACACGAGGUGUCUAAAAUGAAUAAAACCUAGUUAAAGUAUUUAAGUGAAAAUUGCUGCCAACUUUAGGGGACCACCGAUGAGUUAGACCUUGUAUAAAUAAGCCACUCUAAAUGAUAAAGUUAAAAGAUAUAUAGACCAUUUUCCCAAAUAUUUUUGGGAUAAUAUUUUUCUAAGAAAAAAAAAUCACUUUCCCUUAGAAUACAACCCUAAUUUAAGAGGGCGAAAAUCGAGGAAAGGCUCAAAACAGUCCCUCAUCUUUGGAUUAAGGCUCAAAGUCAUCCUUGAGUUUUCACAUGGAGCACUAAUAGUCCCUCAUAUUUGCAAUAUUGGUGCACUUUUAGUCCUCCCCUAAAUUUUUGCCUAUUUUUUAACAUUAAUUUUGUUCACAAUUUUAUGUAAGGAAUGUCCAAUCGUCUUUUUAUAUAUUUAGUAGAAAUAAUAACUCUAUGUGAGAGAAGGUGAUAAAAAGAACACCUUGUUCUGUUCAGUAUAAAUAUUACUGCAGUUAAACUAACAACAUCUUAACAUAUGACGUUGGAAGAAAAGAAAAAAAUUGUACUAUUGCACGUAAAAUGAUCGUGAUGAACCUCUCGACUUUACCUGCAAUACGAUUUCUACUAAACAAAACAAGAUGCUUUUCUUCUCACAUUCUCUCAUAUGGAGUUAUUAUUUCUACUAAAUAUAUAAAAAGACGAUUGGACAUUCCUUACAUAAAAUUGUGAACAAAAUUAAUGUUAAAAAAUAGGCAAAAAUUUAGGGGAGGACCAAAAGUGCACCAAUAUUGCAAACAUGAAGGACUAUUACUGUUCUAUGUGAAAACUCAAGGAUGACUUUGAACCUUAACCCAGAGAUGGGAGACUAUUUUGAGCCUUUCCUCGCGAAAAUCACUUGUAUUGUGCCUCGUGAGAUACACGAGCUUAUCUUUUCUGUUUGUAACAAUGACUUGAAAUUCAUUGUGAUGAAAGAUUGCGUUGACUUGGGUCCGAAAAGGCGGUGACAAAGCUGAAAAUCUAUUACUCCCUCCGUUUCACAAAGAAUGACCUCCUUUCCUUUUUAGUCAGUUUAAAAAAGAAUGACCUCUUUCCUUUUUUGGUAACAUUUUACUUUUUGCUUUCCACGUGACAUGUUUAAGACCACAAGAUUAAGGGCAAUUUUGUACAUUUGACAUAACUUUAAUUUAGGACCACAAGAUUCAAAAGUCUUCUUUAUUUACUUAAACUCCGUGCCAAGUCAAACCAAGUCAUUCUUUGUGAAACGAAGGGAGUAUCAUUUUUGUCAUUUUCUUAUUAGCUUUCGCACACUUCAUCUAAUCUCACAGGGUAUGGUCAACCUCUCACUAGCAGCAGCUACUAGAUAACUAUGUCCAUCAAAUAAAAAAUAAUUACGUAGCAUCUUUUAAUCCCUAUUAAGUUCUCAAUUACUAUGGUCAAGCCACAACUGUUCUCUUACAUGUAACUGUUCGUAUUGAUUGUCUUUUUUGAAUCACUACUUUCUGUUUGUGGGUUUCUAUCUCUUUUCUAUAUUUUGGCUUUGUAGGUUUGAAUAGAAUUGCAGUUACAUUUCUACCUCCUUCUUCCUCAAGUCCAUAUCUGCGAAUUCAUAGUCACCAGCAUGGAGAACGACACUACUACAACAAGGAAAAUAUGAAACUUUAAGGAAAUUGAGAAAUUGGUGAGUGCAUCGAAUCUCACCGUAAGAAGUGUGCUUGACAAGUUGACGUCUUGCCUUGACACUGCUGAUACCCGAUCCGUUAUCCCUCUCGGCCAUGGCGAUCCUUCUGUUUUCCCCUGUUUCCGUACUACACCAAUCGCCGAAGAUGCUAUCACUGAUGCCAUUCGCUCUGCUAAAUUUAACUGUUAUUCGCCCACUGUCGGCAUCCUUCCUGCUAGAAGAUAGCAUCUUACUCAAAAUUUUACUGUUAAUUGGUUUUGUAAAGAUUCUGAAAUUUGUGAUUAAUUUUUUACAUCACUUGGUUUAGGUAUCUCUGCCACUGAUUGCGUAUUAGUGUUUCUCAUUUGGAAGUGUUUGAUUAAAUGUGUACCUCACUGUAAUCUGUUUAAUUGUGAGGAGGUGGAUUCAGAAUUUUGAGUUUAUGGGUUUUGGAUUCUAGAAAAUAUAGCUUACUCAGUUCGGAAAUAAGUUAUUUAUACAUAUUGGAUAUAUAGGGUAGGGCCCAAAGUUACUGAUUCUGCCAAAUUCGUAACCAAGGCUCUAGCUCCGCAGCUUUAUUUAGUCUAAAGUGCAUUUUUCAUGAUCGUCAAAUUCAUUUAAUUCUGUUCUCUGAAAAGGGCGGUAGCAGAAUACCUUUCUCAAGAUCUCCCAUACAAGUUGUCCCCUGAUGAUAUUUACUUGACAAGUGGAUGUCUUCAAGCAAUUGAAGUACUUUUGAGUGCUCUUGCGCGUCCAAACGCAAAUAUUCUACUUCCAACUCCUGAAUUCCCUUUUUAUGAAGCUAGGGCUGCAUUUACCCAUAUUGAAAUGCGCCACUUUAACCUUCUCCCGGAGAAGGAGUGGGAGGUGGAUCUUAAUGAGGUUGAGUUUUUGGCCGAUGAAAAUACCGUGGCUAUGGUCAUUAUUAAUCCUGGUAAUCCUGGUGGCAAUGUCUACACAGACCAACACUUGAAGAAGGU
This 7630-nucleotide long non-coding RNA is filed under the name Solanum tuberosum (potato). Its description in RNAcentral is "long non-coding RNA (STUB_LNC007679)". The record is from RNAcentral. Lineage: Eukaryota; Viridiplantae; Streptophyta; Magnoliopsida; Solanales; Solanaceae.